AGCGAACGUUUGCGGCGGGCCUAACACAUGCAAGUCGAACGGGCAGGGGCAACCCUGUCAGUGGCGCACGGGUGCGUAACACGUGGGUAAUCAACCCUUUGGACUGGGACAACCCGGGGAAACUCGGGCUAAUACCGGAUGUGGCAUCGUGGUCCUCGGACUGUGAUGCGAAAGCCUCGCAAGGGGCACCAGAGGACGAGCCCGCGGCCCAUCAGCUAGUUGGUGAGGUAAUGGCUCACCAAGGCUAAGACGGGUAGCUGGUCUGAGAGGAUGAUCAGCCUCACUGGAACUGAGACACGGUCCAGACUCCUACGGGAGGCAGCAGUGGGGAAUAUUGCGCAAUGGGCGAAAGCCUGACGCAGCCACGCCGCGUGAGCGAUGAAGGUCUUCGGAUCGUAAAGCUCUGUGGGAGAGAAGAAUCAAGCCGGUGAAGAGCCGGCCCGACGGUAUCUCCUUAGCAAGCACCGGCUAACUCCGUGCCAGCCGCCGCCGUAA
RNAcentral lists this ribosomal RNA (495 nucleotides) under uncultured bacterium. RNAcentral's name for it is "bacterial SSU rRNA". It matches the Rfam family "Bacterial small subunit ribosomal RNA", at positions 29 to 523 of the family's 1533-position model. The record is from RNAcentral.